Molecule: long non-coding RNA, 1181 nt
Filed under: Gallus gallus (chicken)
Lineage: Eukaryota; Metazoa; Chordata; Aves; Galliformes; Phasianidae
Description: lncRNA (ENSGALG00010018023.1)
Source: RNAcentral
CCAUGCAAACAUGUGGAAGACCUUCUUUACGGUAAGGGUGGGGGAGCCCUGGGACGGGUUGCCCAGAGAGGUGGUGGAGGUUAUGACCAGCAUCUCCUCUGGGUUGGGAGGUACUGCCAAAUCCUCGAGGCCCUCUACCAAUGAUAGUGUACCAAGGAUAGUCUACUGUGCUGUGAUCUUCAGGGACGUUUUCAACACAAGCCAUCCUAUUGUUCUGUGAUCUUCAAGGACACUUCCAACGUACAAAAAUCCAGUGGUUCUGUGAUCUUCAGGGAGCCAUGCAACACAAACCAUUCCAGCGUUGUGUGAUUUUAGAAGCUGGACGUGAGCCAGCAGUGUGUGCUGGCAGCCCGGAAGGCCAAGUGUGUUCUGGGCUGCGUUAAGAAAGAGGUGGCCAGCAGGGAGAGGGAGGUGGUUGUCCCCCUCUACUCAGCUCUUGUGAGGCCCCAUCUGGAGUACUGCACCCAGGCGUGGGGCCCUGUAUGAGACCUGUUGAACUGCAACUCCACCUGUGUGACCGGAAGGGGUGGAGCCAGGCUCCACCUCUCCUAAACCCCAUUUAAGGGCUGACUGCCACGGAGGAAGGAUUGCUCUCUGAAGAUCACUCCUCUUGGAGCCCUUUUGGCGAGCCCAGGACACGGGCCCCCAGUAGAGGAAGGGUGGAGCUGUUGGAGCGUGUCCAGAGGAGGGCCACUAAGAUGAUCAGAGGGCAGGAGCACCUCUCCUAUGAGGAAAGGUUGAGGGAACUGGGCUUGUAUAGCUUGGAGAAGAGAAGGCUCCAGGGGGAGCUCAUUGUGGCCUUCCAGUACUUGAAGGGAGCGUAUAAACUGGAAGGGGAACGGCUGUUUUUGAGGGUGGAUAGUGGUAGGACAAGGAGGAAUGGUCUUAAACUGAGACAGGGGCGGUUUAGGUUAGAUAUUAGGAGGAAGUUUUUCACCCAGAGGGUGGUGACGCACUGGAACAGGUUGCCCAAGGAGGUUGUGGAUGUCCCGUCGCUGGAGGCAUUCAAGGCCAGGCUGGAAGUGGCUCUGGGCAGCCUGCUCUGGUGGUUGGCGAUCCUCUGGUGGUUGGCACAUAGCCGGGGGGUUGAAACUCGAUGGUCAUUGUGGUCCUUUUCAACCCAGGCCAUUCUAUGAUUCUGUGAGAUUUUCCAGGACCCUUCCAAUGCAGGCAUGACUGGG